ACACAGCAGCAAACUCAAGCCAAUAUCUCCUGUCCAGCCAUGAGCCCGACUGGAGGGCCUUGUGCUCCCCUGUUGUGUUUUGGAUGUCCAACGGCAGAUCUCAUGUUUAUAUCGUCUCAGGCGGACGCUGCUCUUUGACCGAGCAGCCUGUCAGUGAGCAGUUUUGUCCAUAUGUGUACUCUGAGAGUGAGUGGAGUUUAGAGGAGGUGGAUCUCUGCAAUGGUGUCUCCGCACUGCAGCUGCUGGAAUCAGAAGGAAACGCAGAAUAUCCUGAAUGUCAGUCUGACCACUGUGA
Molecule: long non-coding RNA, 295 nt
Organism: Danio aesculapii
Lineage: Eukaryota; Metazoa; Chordata; Actinopteri; Cypriniformes; Danionidae
Exons: 3
Source: RefSeq, a predicted model, not a curated record